Non-coding RNA from Pseudomonas chlororaphis subsp. aureofaciens 30-84, 120 nucleotides. Lineage: Bacteria; Pseudomonadati; Pseudomonadota; Gammaproteobacteria; Pseudomonadales; Pseudomonadaceae. The record is from Rfam.
CCGGCGAAUGCCGGUGGAACUACAGGACAGCGUGGUCGCGGGUUCGAUUCCCGCCAACCGCAAGGGAGUAGCUCAGUGGCAGAGCGCGCUGCAUGUUCCGCCUUCACUGGUCGCCGUUUU